GCAAACCCAAAUUCUUAAACGUCAAACAAGAAUAGGGAUUUGAGAGAAGAUAAAAAUAAUUUCGAAAAUAAAACGUAUAACUUGCAAUCAAAUAAUUAGUCAGAUAGUGUAAAGGAUUGUUCUUUGACUCUUAUAACAAUGCAUUAUUUAGUUUAGGUUCCCUCUGCUUCUCUCUCUGCAGCUCUGUCUCGUUUUGGGCGGGGCUUUAUCAGCAGAGCAUUCUCAUUGGCUGAUUGGAUUUUGACUGACACAGCUCAGUACCUAUGUGCUGGCAGCAGGCAGUUUCCAGCCAAUCGUGCUUUUCUAAAUGUGAGCUACGAGUGACGUGCAUGCGUUUGCCUCAGAACAACGGUCAUGAUUGGCUGAAUCGUCCGCUGUACCCGCCCCCCAUGAGCGAGGGAAAGAAGAAAAACAAAGAAGAGAAGAAGAAGCAGCGCUGGUCUGGAAGAGGCGCGGAAAAGAAAAUGAGAGAACCUGGAGAAGGAGGAGGAGGAGGAGAGGCUGAGAAGACGGCGGGGCAGAGUCGAAGUGAGCAGCAUCGCCUACAAACUAUAGAAAAGAGCGGGAGAGCCAGUUCGCCGGCUGGUUGAGACCUGCUGCAGGCUCGGAAAGCAAAGCUGUCUGCCGGUGCUGAAGACAGAGCUGGUGGCCCAAUGAACUGUAUUAAAAAAAACAGAGUGUGAAGAUGGCAGGUGGAUGUGCCAGUUUGAAGCCAACAACCACAAUGCUGCGGUCCAUGACAACAUGAGAUGUAAACAGUAAGAGGACUGCCCCCACCCAGCAGGGUGCAGCAGACUCAGACAGGGACUCACAGCUGGAGACUGAACCUGAAGAAAACUGCCAAAGGCGGAGACGUGACGUGACGCAGACCGGACAGCUGAUGAAGCCCGAGGCGAUCAGGGCUACACACCACUUAGUGUUUGUCCACAUUAGAUGUUGGACUUUUGGUUAAUUCCAAAAAAAAAACAAGAAAAAAAAAAAAACACAUGUAGCCCUUGGCCUGUUGUCUGUUGUGGUUCCCUCUUUUCCAGGUUAUUAUACAGCAGGUUAUAUAUGCACUUUAUUUGAAGUUAUAACCUGCUAGCAGGCACUUUGAGGUUUGCACAAGUGCUGUUUUUGUUGAUUUUAUUUUUGUUUUUGUUUUUGAGGACAGAGACAUGUUGUUGCUCUGAAAAUAAAAUGUAAUAUGUGAAGCCAGACCUUUAUUUUCUUGUCAGUUAUCAUGAAUACUGUUUCUCUUUGUCUCUCUGCCUGUUAGAUGCUAUUCAACACUAGAGUGACUAAAGCGCAUCAAUAAACUUGUUAUUUUGGUUAUGAAUUUCCUUCAAAUUACGAUCAUUUGAUGUCUGUGGUACGAUAAUCCUACAUUUCCCAGCUGGCAGCGCUGGUUCAGUGAGUUGUUGAGUUGGAGCCACUUUAUAAACUGUGUGAAACUCUG
Molecule: long non-coding RNA, 1438 nt
Organism: Acanthopagrus latus (yellowfin seabream)
Lineage: Eukaryota; Metazoa; Chordata; Actinopteri; Spariformes; Sparidae
Exons: 2
Source: RefSeq, a predicted model, not a curated record